This 483-nucleotide long non-coding RNA is filed under the name Prunus persica (peach). RNAcentral describes it as "long non-coding RNA (PPER_LNC006563)". The record is from RNAcentral. Lineage: Eukaryota; Viridiplantae; Streptophyta; Magnoliopsida; Rosales; Rosaceae.
UAAAUUAGUACAUUACAAUCAUUACAAAUUAUAAUCGGUUUGAAUUAAAUUAAAUAAAAAGUAAAAGAAUGUAAAACAACAUCAUCUGCAGCUGCCCAUAACAUUAGGAGACAAUCAAGCAUUUCAGAUAUAUAUUAAAAUUAUAAAAGAUAGAAAAUUAAAAUAAGAACCAAAAAAAAAAAAAAAAAAAUCCAAUUGGCACACACGCACGUGAAAGGGGCUUGUCUCAAUUAUGCUAUGGUAAAUGGUUAUAACGAGCCCCACCAAACGUGUCAUGAACGUCCCAAUUUUCGUAAGCUAAACCAAUUCAAAUGAUUUGAGUGGUUUUGCACAAUCACCGUUCAAUUACUGUUGGGCCCAUGAGCCAGCCCUCAUCUUAUGCUAGAAUGGGCUUUAAAGUGGAAUUUUAAUUGAAAAUGUCUGGUUCUCAAUAUUCAACAAUUCCUUCACAUAGCCACCCACUAUACUGCAAUUCUAUUCUAC